RNAcentral lists this ribosomal RNA (254 nucleotides) under uncultured microorganism. RNAcentral's name for it is "partial 16S ribosomal RNA". It matches the Rfam family "Archaeal small subunit ribosomal RNA", at positions 474 to 727 of the family's 1478-position model. The record is from RNAcentral.
UACCGGCCCCGCGAGUGGUCGGGGUGAUUAUUGGGCCUAAAGCGCCCGUAGCCGGCUUGGCAAGUCCCCUGGGAAAUCUGGCGGCUUAACCGUCAGGCGUCCAGAGGAUACUGCCAGGCUUGGGACCGGGAGAGGUGAGAGGUACCUCAGGGGUAGGGGUGAAAUCUUGUGAUCCCUGAGGGACCACCAGUGGCGAAGGCGUCUCACUAGAACGGGUCCGACGGUCAGGGACGAAAGCUGGGGGCACGAACCGG